Molecule: ribosomal RNA, 425 nt
Filed under: uncultured bacterium
Lineage: Bacteria
Description: bacterial SSU rRNA
Rfam family: Bacterial small subunit ribosomal RNA
Source: RNAcentral
GGGGAAUUUUGGACAAUGGGGGCAACCCUGAUCCAGCCAUGCCGCGUGAGUGAAGAAGGCCUUCGGGUUGUAAAGCUCUUUCAGCCGGGAAGAAAUCGGCGACUCUAACAUAGUCGCUGGAUGACGGUACCGGACUAAGAAGCACCGGCUAACUACGUGCCAGCAGCCGCGGUAAUACGUAGGGUGCGAGCGUUAAUCGGAAUUACUGGGCGUAAAGCGUGCGCAGGCGGUUUUGUAAGACAGAUGUGAAAUCCCCGGGCUUAACCUGGGAACUGCGUUUGUGACUGCAAGGCUAGAGUACGGCAGAGGGGGGUGGAAUUCCACGUGUAGCAGUGAAAUGCGUAGAGAUGUGGAGGAACACCGAUGGCGAAGGCAGCCCCCUGGGCCUGUACUGACGCUCAUGCACGAAAGCGUGGGGAGCAAAC